UGAAGAUCCCAGUGGACCAACUGAUCUCUCUCACUAGCCAGCUCCAUCUGUUUCAGAAUUUGUUUUGGAAUCUCAGCGAUAGACUGAAUGUUCUUCUACUGUGCCAUAUAUAACUCAACUGAAAACAAACUUGUGAUGCUGUAGAAGAGGAUCUGUGGACGAAACUUCCUGAUGAUUUUUGACUGACAGUUUUGUCUGAUGUGGUUUAGUGGACAUCACAUUAGCUGAACAACUUGUUCAAGAAUUCUUUAUUUGAUUUACCAGGGAUGACCAAUUUCAUCAGCUUGGAAGAGCAGACAGUCCUGGUGUCCUAGAUUCCUGGAGUUGCUCUCCUUUGAGAAACCAGGAAAAGGAGCAGAAGACAAUCAAGACUGAGGGGGUGGACUGAGUCACCAGGUGGAGAUUAUGCAAAGCAGAGCUAAGCUUUCUGUCUCAUUUCUGUAAUACUCAGGGUGUAAAAGAGCUGCUCUGUUACAAGGUUUUAUAUUUUUGGAAGAUGAAGAAAAUAACUCUGCAGGCCUAGUACUGUUCAGCUGCCCCUUUUACAGCCAGAUCAGGGCCGUAGCGUGUGGCUGCGGCAAUAGGCUUGCCAU
Long non-coding RNA from Sceloporus undulatus (fence lizard), 593 nucleotides. RefSeq lists it as uncharacterized. The record is from RefSeq and is a predicted model, not a curated record. Lineage: Eukaryota; Metazoa; Chordata; Lepidosauria; Squamata; Phrynosomatidae. The transcript is spliced from 3 exons.